AACGAACGCUGGCGGCAUGCCUAACGCAUGCAAGUCGAACGGGAUCCAGGCUUCGGCCUGGUGAGAGUGGCGGACGGGUGAGUAACACGUGGGAACCUGCCUUUUGGUUCGGGAUAACCGCGGGAAACUGCGGCUAAUACCGGAUGCUCCCGAGAGGGGAAAGAUUUAUCGCCAGAAGAGGGGCCCGCGUCCGAUUAGGUAGUUGGUGAGGUAAUGGCUCACCAAGCCGACGAUCGGUAGCUGGUCUGAGAGGAUGAUCAGCCACACUGGGACUGAGAUACGGCCCAGACUCCUACGGGAGGCAGCAGUGGGGAAUAUUGGACAAUGGGGGCAACCCUGAUCCAGCAAUGCCGCGUGAGUGAUGAAGGCCUUAGGGUUGUAAAGCUCUUUUGCCAGGGAAGAUGAUGACUGUACCUGGAGAAUAAGCCCCGGCUAACUUCGUGCCAGCAGCCGCGGUAAU
RNAcentral lists this ribosomal RNA (460 nucleotides) under uncultured bacterium. Its description in RNAcentral is "bacterial SSU rRNA". It matches the Rfam family "Bacterial small subunit ribosomal RNA", at positions 29 to 524 of the family's 1533-position model. The record is from RNAcentral.